RNAcentral lists this ribosomal RNA (418 nucleotides) under Triticum aestivum (bread wheat). RNAcentral's name for it is "partial small subunit ribosomal RNA". The record is from RNAcentral. Lineage: Eukaryota; Viridiplantae; Streptophyta; Magnoliopsida; Poales; Poaceae.
GUCGGCGGCAGUAAGAGGAGACUAGACAGUACAAGCAUCGAAGAGACCCGCGUAGUAGAGGUAAGUAGGGGCGUUAAGAGGGAAGGUCUGGCGGGAGAUCGCUGGAUCUCGCUUGCGGUUCACGCGGGCCGCCGGUGGAGGUUGCGAGUGGGGUCACUGAGAAGAGACACGGAGAGCUCCUAUACUCUAUUAGAGAAGACGAUGCAAACCAUUUCUGCCUAAACAAGACUACCCUCACGCUGAGUAGCCGCACAUACCACAGAGCGGGCGCCCGCGCCGAUGUGCAGCUUCGGGAGCCUCCAGGGACGACGGUGGCAGAACGGAGGGCGAACUCUCAAACUUGACGUGUACGAAACUACCCGCAUAACAUGCGGUGGCAGGACGUGGGGGCCGUUUGGACCGGCACCAAAACGACGAC